This 21-nucleotide non-coding RNA is filed under the name Caenorhabditis elegans. The record is from RNAcentral. Lineage: Eukaryota; Metazoa; Nematoda; Chromadorea; Rhabditida; Rhabditidae.
UUGGAUAUCUCAAAGAUAAAC